UUGUUGGUUCCAUACUAAAUAAACGCCUUACGUUGCACGAAGUUAACAGAUUCAAAGCGGUGUACAAUUCCAGAAAUAACUGGAAGAUUUAUUUUCUAAAUUACACAAGCUCAAAAUAUUGUAUUUUACAACACGUCUGUCCAAUCAAAAACAAAUAGGCGUGAUUUAUUAAGAUACAGCCCUUUCAAAACCUCACGCAAAAGUCCAACGUGCAGAAGAUUCUUUUAUUAUAUCAUUACAGCUACGAAGCAGUCACACGAAUUCGGUGCUCCCGCAAAACUUCUCCACUUCGAAACAGGAUGUUGCUCGAAACAGUGGUAGCACUUCUGCAAAUAUUCCUACAAAUUGCUGCACAUCCACAACAUUUGAAUACGAACACAAUAAUUCCAAAAAAUGAUACGGCAGGACGAUCUUGGAGUACUGGAGGAAUGCCCUUCAGCGUGCUUUACAUGAACUCGCAAUCGCUCAAGUACGCACCGGCGGACAUCUCCCACGUACCACCACCUGUGUACCUCAGACGUCGGGAGCUUCCAAAAAUUCACAAAAACAAACGACGCUACCCCACAUUACCUCAUCUAUUUGCGACGUACGAACGAAAACAAUUUAAACAAUGACCUACCGUUCAUUUCUUUCAUCGCCUUUGUAAAAUCGGCUGGAUCUUUAAAGCUAAUAAAACCGUAACCUUUA
Molecule: long non-coding RNA, 687 nt
Organism: Photinus pyralis (common eastern firefly)
Lineage: Eukaryota; Metazoa; Arthropoda; Insecta; Coleoptera; Lampyridae
Exons: 2
Source: RefSeq, a predicted model, not a curated record